CUGACUGUAGGGCUCAAUAUAUAAUUUUACGAAAUUAAAUCCCAGGGCAAUGAAACAUCCACUCUUCUACGUUUUGGCAAUAUUUGUUGCUGCCGCUCUCAUCAUUCCAUUCAUGACCAUGUCUGCUGUCAGAAUUAGUCUUCAUAGUAACCGUGAACGAUAUACUACAUGGCCAAGAAAAAGAAACAGCACCAUGGGGAGGCUGACACUAACUUCAAAGGGAGUAGUGAGGGAGCGAAUGAAGCAAAAUGGAGCACACCCACUUCAAAUUGCCGGCUCUAGAUUACCAGAUUGCUCCCAUGCUUGUGGGUCAUGUACACCCUGUGUGUUAAAAAUUGUUAGCUCACUAUGUUCCUCCCUUGCUCAGUCCGAGGCAUGCCCUAUAUCAUAUAAGUGCAUGUGUAAGAACAAAUAUUAUCCAGUUCCAUAAACACCAGCAGCUGCAUGGAGCGUAUGUUCUAGAGACAUUGCGUUCUGGUGCCUAGUUGUAUUAUUACAGUAGUAGUGAUUGUUGGAUAUAAAUAUAUUUCAGUUUCUAAUUAACCAUUUAAAUUUUUAGUUC
Molecule: long non-coding RNA, 562 nt
Organism: Populus nigra (black poplar)
Lineage: Eukaryota; Viridiplantae; Streptophyta; Magnoliopsida; Malpighiales; Salicaceae
Exons: 2
Source: RefSeq, a predicted model, not a curated record